CAUGCAUAGCCACCCUCCUAAACAAGAAGGAAUCUGCUCACCAACUUCUAGAAGAGAGUGCUCACCAUGCGGAGGAUCUCAAGACUGGCUGCAGAGACUACUGGAGGAGACGAAGAGACCAAACACAUGAUUUGCACAGCACAGCAGCUCGGAGCUCAAAGGGUGCACAGGGGCUCUGCCACUCAUUUAUCUGCAAGGUUAUCCUGCCAUACGAAAGUCAUUCACAUCCUCAGCAUUCCAGAGCUAGGGAGGCAUGCUCACACGGGAUAAAUAUAGAUCCUGACACCUGAGCCAAGUGCAAUGAAAGUUAACUGGAAAAGUCUCCCUGGUGUGUGCCUGGGUGGAGGAAAAUACCACCCCUGGUCCUCUGCUUGCUGAGACCUGGGUGCCCCUUCAGAGACAGUUGCUGUGCUAAUGGAACAGGGGCAUUCUGGAGAUCAAACACUAAUAACCACCUUGCUUCUCCUCAUGAUUACUGUUUGUUCUGAGAGUAGACAUGGCUCAGGUUCCCCUUCCUGCUGACCUGGAUAAGCAGCAUGAGAGUGAAAGUAUUAUUUAGACAACAAACAGGUUUCUGCUUUUCUCAUGUUUACAGGAAAGAAAACAGAAACUCAAAGGAUGAUACUGAUCCGGAACAUGUGACUCAUUAGUAGUCCAUGGGCGAGUGUAACCACAAAGUGAUAACUUGCAAAGGCGGAGUUUGACCCUCCGCACCCGAGCCUGGAACAUCAGUCCUGAUACCACGACUCCUCUCAGACAGUAGGAAGCCUGACAUGGGAGAGGGACAGAGAGCAAGGACUGCGGUCUGCUGCUCAGGACCAGGAGGAGUCCUCCACGAGAGGGAACCUCAAGUUUCGAAGGUGGCAGCACCAAGACUUGCCUGGCCUUUGCUGUGCAUUGAGCAGUGAAACGGAAGCCGUGAGCCUUGGACUCGAGCUGCUGACAGAGCAGCCCUCAUGGGAUGUGGCUGUGGAAUUUCCCAUUUCUGUGUGAGAAUCUUUCCUCAGAAGAGCGGUGAGACCCAGCUGUACGUGUGCACAGUCACGUGGCUACAGGGGAAGCAGCACUCACUUGCUCUCCCCUCAGGUCUGCCAGGUGCUGCCCUCUGUCAGCUAGAUGUCUGUCUUCCUCCUCCAGGUGCCCAUCAGGAAGUAUUGGUGGCUUUUGCUUCAGCUUUCAAUAUGUUGUGCUGAAUUUGUUCAGAACAUUUAAAUUCAUAAAAAUCCUUUGGGAGAAAUUAAAAUUUUUAAGUAAAGAUUCACCCCUUAUGUGUCUGUCCCUGCCCAUUGUGUAGGGGUUAGCAAUGGAUGGUUCCUGAAGCUUGGCUGUGGGACAUAGGAGGAGAGAAUAUGAGAUUUUCUAAGGAAAAUUUGGCACGCACCCCCUCCACCCCACUUGAAAAUAAUGAGUAAGAGUCACUGAAAUUCUCACACAUUAACCUUACUCAUGUGUGCUUGAGAAAAACACCUAUGAGAGAAGCAGCCUUGUCUAUUAACAACUUGAUUCAGCUGUGUAUUCAGGCCUGAAAGGCAUUUGGGCACCAUGUGUGACUGAUUACAUCAGCUCACUCUUCCUUCAGGGUUUUCUGUUGGUUUCCAUGUCACUGUGGAAUGAUUGCACCCAAAGACAUCCUUCCGAAGGGCCACUUACAGGACACCUGUGACAGAGGUUUAAUAUUAAACUUGUCUGCAUAACUCAUUGUGUGAAAUCUCCUUAUUUUAACAACAGUUUAAGGUGAAGUUUUUUAUCAUUGCUUCUCAAAACUGACUUCAAAAUACUGUUGUUUAAAAAAAAGUACUAAGAGUACUGUUGUGUUUGCCCCACACAAAUGAUAACCAUGUGAGGUAGUGCAUGUGCUAAUUAGCGAGAUGUAGCCAUUCUACAAUAUGUAUGUACUGUACUUCAAAACAUCACUUAGCAUAUGAUAAAUACCUAUAAUUUUAUCUGUCGAUUUAGAAAGGUAAAAUAACACUUUAUAGGUUUGAAGCAUUUCUUUAGAGGAGAGUGCUUACUAUAUGCUUGCUAUUCAACAGUACUCAGCUUGAAGGAAAGGCCCAUUAUCGAUUAGUGCUAUUACAUUUGAAGCCUAAAAUUAUGGCUAAGAUUCAUACCCUUUUAAUUGUAAAAGCCUUACAACGAUUUGCACAAAACCUUAUCAUGCCAAAGCAACAUUCUUCCUGGUGAAGAUUAUUUAAUCAUUUACUUAAUAGCAAGAUAUAGUGAGAUUCUGUUCUUGGGUCCAUAUCAUGCUAAUUGUGGGGGAAAUAAAACACGAUCAGCCAAAGUGUAUUUUCUGGAAAAUCUUACUAUUUAGUGAGGGGGGACAAGCUGAAUUGCAAUGUGAUGAGCUAAGCUGAGAGCCCAGAGAGCAUUCACACACACACACA
Heterocephalus glaber (naked mole-rat) is the source of this 2387-nucleotide long non-coding RNA. Lineage: Eukaryota; Metazoa; Chordata; Mammalia; Rodentia; Bathyergidae. The record is from Ensembl.